CUUAUGAUAUUUAUCAGCAAUUUAACUCAUUCUCAUAAAACAAGUUAUAUUGAAAUAAAAUUGGACAAGUAAUUAAAUAUGUUUUUUAUUUAAAUCACCUUCUUGGGGAAGGGGGCUUGUCAUCAUCAUUCCCUGGGUACCAUACUGUUGAGAUAUCAUGAUACUUAGAACUUGUUAGCACUUCUUAGCACAAAGUUUGCUUUUAAUAUUUUGCUUUUAGCUGUAGCUGGGUGGGUCAAUCAGCAAAUACCUAAUGCUAGGCACUUUCAUAGGCACUGUGGAGAAGUGGUGGACGCUGUAGACCCCUUGAGCAUUCUGGUGAGGACAGUCAGCAGUGUGGACAGUGCUAGAGUAGUAAGCACAGGGAGGAGGGGACUAGUCUGAAUUGUGAAGAGUCUGAGUAGUCUUGCUUGGACAUGAUGUCUUAAAUGUGUUCUGGCCAGGCAUGGUGUAGUCCCAGUGACUUGCCAGGCCGAGGCAGGAGAAUUGCAAGUUUGAGGCCCAUGUAGGCAACUUAGCUAGACCCUGUCUCAAAAUAAAAAAAUAUAGAAAGGGCUGGGAGUGUAGCUGAGGGAUAGAGUGCCCCUGGGUUGAAUUCCCAGUAUUGCAAAAGAAAAAGGAAAGAAAGAAAGAAACAAAAAACAAACAAACAAACAACAAAAAAAAACACAAUAAAAUGAAGUCUGAAGGACAAUUAAGAAUUGGGCCAGAGGGAUGAGAUAGUCUUUCUGGAGAGGGGGCAUUUAAUUCAUGUGAUAAGUUUUAACCAGCCUUUGAGAAGGAUGGCAUAGAGAGAAGGCAGCAGAGCAAUAUCUUCAUCUACUCUAGUUUUUUUUUGGAAAACCCAAUCCUGUGAGAAAAUGGCAUAAUUUUUGUGUGUAGUCCUUUUACUUGGGAAAUGUGUAGUGGUUUUGCAUCAGGCCUGCUGGGUAGGAAUCCUAGUUCCACAGGUUAUAGCUCUGUAACUUUGGCAAGUUACUUAACCUUUCUCUGCUUCAGUUCAUUCUUUUGAUCAUUCCUUCCUUUGGAUUGAAC
This 1035-nucleotide long non-coding RNA is filed under the name Marmota monax (woodchuck). Lineage: Eukaryota; Metazoa; Chordata; Mammalia; Rodentia; Sciuridae. The record is from RNAcentral.